Gallus gallus (chicken) is the source of this 551-nucleotide long non-coding RNA. The record is from Ensembl. NCBI's taxonomy places the organism in Eukaryota, Metazoa, Chordata, Aves, Galliformes, Phasianidae.
UGCUUGGCCCCAGUGUGCUCAUCCCCAUACCAUGCCAGCCUUGCAGAUUAAAUGUUUGAGGGAUAGCACAGUGCCUCCAAUCCUGCUUGCACAAGGAAAUCAAAGCCAUAUCUACCAGCUGGGACAGUAUCCAUAACAGGAGUAUGGACUCUUCCCUCCUUCCGUCCCUUAUGACCCUGGUCUCCCUGUUUCAUAUACAAAGGCAGCAGCUGGAGAGUGCUUGAGCAUGCUGUAAUGAGCACAAGUGAGAAACUUCCAAAGGCGGUGGUGCAUCCAUGGGUAUGGAGGGGUGGAAGAUGCUCAAUGGACUCUCAGAGGAGAAUAAUCUCGUGUUCCGCUGUGGCAAAAAAUAAAAUGUCCAUUCCAACUUGGGCUACUCUGUGGUUCUUUGACCGUGAGGUGGCUCUCAGAAUGGAGAAUGCUCAUUGGAAGACCAGGGGAGAGCAGGCCUCAGUGACACUAAGAGGUGGCUUCUUACAGUGAGACAAUGGUGUUGGGGAGGAAGGCCCUUCACCUCCAGGAGGGUCAGAGCAGCUGCCUCUCAAGGUGGC